AUUGAACGCUGGCGGCAGGCCUAACACAUGCAAGUCGAACGAGUGGCGGACGGGUUAGUAAUGUCUGUGAAACUGCCUGAUGGAGGGGGCUAACUACUGGAAACGGUAGCUACUACCGCAUACCAUCAGAUGUGCCCAGAUCGGAUUAGCUAUUUGGUGGGGUAACGGCUCACCAAGGCGACGAUCCCUAGCUGGUCUGAGAGGAUGACCAGCCAAACUGGAACUGAGACACGGUCCAGACUCCUACGGGAGGCAGCAGUGGGGAAUAUUGGAAAAUGGGCGAAAGCCUGAUGCAGCCAUGCAGCGUGUAUGAAGAAGGCCUUCGGGUUGUAAAGUACUUUAAGCGGGGAGGCGUGACCAGCAGAAGAAGCACAGGCUAACUCCGUGCCAGCAGCCGCGGUAAUAC
Molecule: ribosomal RNA, 406 nt
Filed under: uncultured bacterium
Lineage: Bacteria
Description: partial 16S ribosomal RNA
Rfam family: Bacterial small subunit ribosomal RNA
Source: RNAcentral